Molecule: long non-coding RNA, 1043 nt
Organism: Xiphophorus hellerii (green swordtail)
Lineage: Eukaryota; Metazoa; Chordata; Actinopteri; Cyprinodontiformes; Poeciliidae
Exons: 2
Source: RefSeq, a predicted model, not a curated record
UACAGAAGCCAACCGAUGGAGAGCCCGCUUACAAGCAGAACAACCUUCCUGCUUCGACAGAGCAAAAAAAAAUCGAAGAGAGCCAAGUGCCCAAACCUGCGAAGAAGAAGAAGGCGAGGAGAGAGACAUGAGACGCCUCCGUAUGCAAGAGACUUCACAUCCUGCUUAUGCAACACCUUCUCUGACAGGGAUUUGGAACGACGGUCGCCGUUGACGAACUUUACCAGGAGGGAGGAAAAAAAAAAAAAACGUGUCCGAAAACAACUUUUUUUUUUUUUUUUAAAUACACAUCAUGUGCCAGUUUGGUGGAUCCUUGAAAAGUGAAAUUUUAAUGCAGUGCAAUCUAAUGUGAUGGGGUGUUGAUGGUUUCUAUGUAUGCAUUUGAUCUUUCUGAUAAUGUCUUCUAAUUCCACUGAAUCAAAUAACUGAAGGAGCUGUAAUUUAGUCCUUAGACCUGUAGGAAAAAUACUGAUGAAGUUUAGAAAUCUGUGGCGGCGGCUGACGAGCGCCGCUCACUGUGCAGAGAGUAACUGUUUCUCAACACUGGGCCGAACGGGGUGAACCGGCCUUCUUUUAACCUGCUCUGAUGUCGGUGGUUUCAGACCAGCGGCUGGAAGCUCUACGAGAUGUAAACUGUCGUGAUGUAAAUGAGCCUCGUCAGGCACAGGAAAGGGACUCGCGUCGACUCCGCGGUUCUUGCUUUUUCUUCCUGUGAUUCUGGGGGAAAAAAAAAUGUCACCACCUCUGUCCAUCUUGUUCGUCUCGUCCGUUUUGCUGCCGUGUGUCGACAAAAUGUUCUCUUGCUGUCUUUUUUUUUUUUUACGGCCGGUUGCUGUCUUUCAGCCGCAGUCAUGCUGAAAGUUGGGGGCAUCUGAUGGCAAACGCGUCAUUGUUGUCAGCCUCUUAGUUUUGUUUUUGUUUUUUUUGUUUUCCACCUCUGCUUGAUUCAGAAGUCCUCAGAAUCGUUUUGUAAAACUUAUUUGUAAUAAAAGAAAAGCUAAAGCCAUAUGUAAAAAGACUAAAUAAAGGCCAGUUUUUCUAUC